AUGGAACGCCAAAAAUACACAAACAAAACCCCACUUAGACCAAUAGUAGACAGCAUAGGUACACCAACAUACAAAAUGGCAAGAGAUAUCAGCAAAAUCAUCAGCCUGUUAUUAGGAAACACAGAUCAAAAUAGUAUAGAACUGGCAAAAGAACUAAAAAACAUUACAAUAGAAAACAACAACAUACUCAUCUCACAUGACGUCACAUCCCUGUUCACAAAAACACCAACCCAAAAAAACAUAGACAUAGUAGUUAACAGAAUCAGACAGGACAAAACUUUACACAAAAGAACAAACCUCACAGCAGACGACAUAGCACAACUGAUAGCACUGGUAGCUAACUCCACUUACUUCACAAAUGACAACACAAUAUAUAAACAACUGGAAGGCUUCGCCAUGGGUAACCCGUUAUCAGCCACCCUGUGCGAGAUUUUCAUGGAAGACCUAGAACAAAAAGCCAUAGCCACUGCCCCCCCAAACUGUAAAAUAAAACUAUGGAAACGCUACGUAGACGACAUACUGGAAAUCAUACCAAAAGGACAAACAGAAACACUAUCACAACACUUAAAUAACAUUGACGACACAGGCAGCAUAAAAUUCACUUAUGAGUCAGAAACAGAAGGCAGUAUAACAUUUAUGGAUAUGAAAAUCACCAGGCAGACCGACGGGACCCUAAACAUAAACACAUACAGGAAACCAACACACACAGACCAAUAUUUAUUAUGGACAUCAGAACACCCCACCAUACACAAAAUGUCAGUAAUCAGAACAUUAUAUCACCGAGCAAACAUAAUAACAGAAGAGAGAGACUGUAAACAAGAGGACGAACACAUACAACACGCUUUAAAGACCUGCAGAUACCCGACAUGGGCAAUAAACAAAGGAAAACAACAAACAACAACAGAAAGAAAAGAACAACCUAAGCAAAGAACCAGAAACCCAGAAAGACAGGAACCAAAACCAGUGACCUUACCAUACAUCAAAGGCAUAACAGAAAAAAUAAGAGCAACAAUGAAAAAACACAACAUAAACACACCAACAAAACCAUACACAACAGUUAGAAACAGACUAGUACACCCAAAAGACAAAAUAUCAGCUGGACAAAAAUGUGGAGUCAUUUACGAAAUCCCAUGCAAACUCUGCAAUAAAACAUACAUAGGAGAAACCGGACGCCAACUCAACACACGAACAAUAGAACAUAGAAAGGAGUGCGAGAAAGAGGCAAGUCGAAAACACACAAGAGCAGCAAAAGAAGAAGCAGAAAGUACAAUAAAAAAAGUCAGCCAUAACAGAUCACUGCAUAAGAGAAAACCAUAUAAUGGACUGGGACAACUCAAGGAUCAUAAACACCGAACAACAGAAAUAUAA
This 1368-nucleotide long non-coding RNA is filed under the name Nothobranchius furzeri (turquoise killifish). RNAcentral's name for it is "lncRNA (ENSNFUG00015001484.1)". Lineage: Eukaryota; Metazoa; Chordata; Actinopteri; Cyprinodontiformes; Nothobranchiidae. The record is from RNAcentral.